Molecule: ribosomal RNA, 492 nt
Filed under: uncultured bacterium
Lineage: Bacteria
Description: partial 16S ribosomal RNA
Rfam family: Bacterial small subunit ribosomal RNA (bases 61-492)
Source: RNAcentral
GGGGGGGGGGGGGGGGGGGGGGGGGGGGGGGAGGUGGGGGGGGGGGGCGGGGGGGGGGGGCGCUGGGGGGGGGCGGGUGGCGGGCGGGGGAGGGAGACAGCGGAAGCUACUUUGUCGUGGGGGAGAACGUCGGGAAACUUACGCUCAUACGGCAUACGACGUACGGGUGAAAGCAGGGGGACUUCGGACCUUGCGCGAUUGACUGAGCCGAUGUCGGAUUAGCUAGUUGGCGGGGUAAAGGCCCACCAAGGCGACGAUCCGUAGCUGGUCUGAGAGGAUGAUCAGCCACACUGGAACUGAGACACGGUCCAGACUCCUACGGGAGGCAGCAGUGGGGAAUAUUGGACAAUGGGCGCAAGCCUGAUCCAGCCAUACCGCGUGGGUGAAGAAGGCCUUCGGGUUGUAAAGCCCUUUUGUUGGGAAAGAAAAGCAGCAGGUUAAUACCCCGCUGUUCUGACGGUACCCAAAGAAUAAGCACCGGCUAACUUCGUG